UAAUACAGAGGGGGCAAGCGUUGUUCGGAAUUACUGGGCGUAAAGGGCGCGUAGGCGGCCCUCUAAGUCAGACGUGAAAUCCCUCGGCUCAACCGGGGAACUGCGUCUGAGACUGGAAGGCUUGAAUUCGGGAGAGGGAUGUGGAAUUCCAGGUGUAGCGGUGAAAUGCGUAGAUAUCUGGAGGAACACCGGUGGCGAAGGCGGCAUCCUGGACCGAUAUUGACGCUGAUGCGCGAAAGCCAGGGGAGCAAACGGGAUUAGAUACCCCGGUAGUCCUGGCCCUAAACGAUGAAUGCUUGGUGUGGCGGGUAUCGAUCCCUGCCGUGCCGAAGCUAACGCAUUAAGCAUUCCGCCUGGGGAGUACGGUCGCAAGGCUG
This 377-nucleotide ribosomal RNA is filed under the name uncultured bacterium. Its description in RNAcentral is "bacterial SSU rRNA". It matches the Rfam family "Bacterial small subunit ribosomal RNA", at positions 521 to 896 of the family's 1533-position model. The record is from RNAcentral.